GGGGUGCUCUAGUAGGGUUAACCGCCCGAGAGAGCCGCAGUGAAAAGAUCCAAGCGACUGUUUAGCAAAAACACAGGUCUCUGCGAAGCCGUAAGGCGAAGUAUAGGGGCUGACACCUGCCCGGUGCUGGAAGGUUAAGAGGAAGGGUCAUCCCAAAUGGUGAGAAGCUCUGAAUUGAAGCCCCAGUAAACGGCGGCCGUAACUAUAACGGUCCUAAGGUAGCGAAAUUCCUUGUCGGGUAAGUUCCGACCCGCACGAAUGGUGCAACGACUUGGAUACUGUCUCAACGAGAGACCCGGUGAAAUUAUAGUACCUGUGAAGAUGCAGGUUACCCGCGACAGGACGGAAAGACCCCAUGGAGCUUUACUGUAGCUUGAUAGUGAGUGUUGGUAUCAUCUGUACAGGAUAGGUAGGAGCCUUGGAAACCGGAGCGCUAGCUUCGGUGGAGGCGUCGGUGGGAUACUACCCUGAUGGUGCUGGCAUUCUAACCUCGACCCGUGAUCCGGGCCAGGGACAUUGUCAGGUGGGCAGUUUGACUGGGGCGGU
This 546-nucleotide ribosomal RNA is filed under the name Shouchella clausii. RNAcentral's name for it is "bacterial LSU rRNA". It matches the Rfam family "Bacterial large subunit ribosomal RNA", at positions 1745 to 2283 of the family's 2925-position model. Lineage: Bacteria; Bacillati; Bacillota; Bacilli; Caryophanales; Bacillaceae. The record is from RNAcentral.